This 486-nucleotide long non-coding RNA is filed under the name Setaria viridis. RNAcentral describes it as "long non-coding RNA (SVIR_LNC003617)". The record is from RNAcentral. Lineage: Eukaryota; Viridiplantae; Streptophyta; Magnoliopsida; Poales; Poaceae.
AAGAAUCAUCUUCUCCAAUUACUAAUAAAUAGAGGGAUACUUACGAAUAUAGUAUCUCUAGAAUCAAAAUAAUAUUGUUCCUAUAUUUUUAUUGUGGGUCUAGCCAUUUGUUGAUUAUAUUUUGAAUUGACUCUUUAUUUAUUUUGUAUGCCAUACAAACUACCAAUUUAGGUAGUGAUUAAUUGUAUUUGACAUGGACUCUUUGAUUUGAUUUGGUAUACAUAGUUAGAUGAUAGUGACAAUCAAAUAGUGUAGCUAUACUUUUUUCCUAUGAUUAAUUUGAUAGUUUAUAGCCCUUGAGUGUGAACAGGGUGUCUUAUUGUAACUCUCAAAUAUUACGGCAAUAGAUCUCUAGAAUAUUUCUCCUUUGCUCAAAAGGUACCAUUGUGGAAGGAUCAUAUUUUUUAAUUACUAAAAAAUAGAUGGAUACUCAAACUUGGGCUUAUACUACGAGAAACGACCCAGAUUUGGUUCAUUGAAUUACCA